Molecule: long non-coding RNA, 1211 nt
Organism: Esox lucius (northern pike)
Lineage: Eukaryota; Metazoa; Chordata; Actinopteri; Esociformes; Esocidae
Source: Ensembl
GUGAUGUCCAGGCUUUCAGAGAAUGGGACAGGCUGCAUCGGUCAGACGCUCAGCUGUAGUGAAACACGCGGACAAACAGACUCAGAUCCCAGCGGUGAGUGAAGCUGUAGUCAGUGGGGUGUGGGAGGUUCCACAGAUUUUAAUAGUACAACUACACUACAUGAGGAAAGCUGAGAAGAAGAAAAGGGCUGUCCCAUUUCCAGAAACACACCCUGCACCCAACCCGAGGAGGGGGUUGAAGGGAGAAAUGUGCGCAUGGAGAUAAACCAUGAACUCGUGUUGUCACGGUUGGGUUCUUGGGACCGGGUGAAAAGACGCUACAGCUGGAAGACGCUACAGCUGGAAAACACAUACAUCCAUCCAACAAAGGGGUUUGUCCAACAACUGUGGUAUUAAAUGUGACGACCGGGCCAGGAAACAUGAGGUAGAAUUCUCAUGAAACACACCGACUGACCACAGAAUGAAGUCUUCAGAAUACGACUGACCACAGGAUGAGACGGUCUUCACAAUACGACUGACCACAGGAUGAGACAGUCUUCACAAUACAACUGACCACAGGAUGGAGUCUUCAGAAUACGACUGACCACUGGAUGAAGGAGUCUUCACAAUACAACUGACAACAGGACGAAGGAGUCUUCACAAUAUAACUGACAACAGGACGAAGGAGUCUUCACAAUAUAACUGACAACAGGACGAAGGAGUCUUCACAAUACAACUGACAACAGGACGAAGGAAUCUUCACAAUACAACUGACCACAGGAUGGAGUCUUCAGAAUACGACUGACCACUGGAUGAAAGAGUCUUCACAAUACAACUGACAACAGGACGAAGGAGUCUUUAGAAUACGACUGACCACUGGAUGAAAGAGUCUUCACAAUACAACUGACAACAGGACGAAGGAGUCUCCACAAUACAACUGGCCACAGGAUGGAGUCUUCAGAAUACGACUGACCACUGGAUGAAAGAGUCUUCACAAUACAACUGACAACAGGACGAAGGAGUCUUUAGAAUACGACUGACCACUGGAUGAAAGAGUCUUCACAAUACAACUGACAACAGGACGAAGGAGUCUCCACAAUACAACUGACCACAGGAUGGAGUCUUCAGAAUACGACUGACCACUGGAUGAAAGAGUCUUCACAAUACGACUGACCACUGGAUGAAGGAGUCUUUACAAUACGACUGACCACAGGAUGAAGGAGUCAUAAAGA